AUGCAUAAAAUCUGAGUAGAACAAGUUUGCUUAAUUUUGUAUGCACUCAAAACAGUGGGAUGUGCAUUUGUAUUUAUCAGAGUCCCUGUAAUAUCCAACAUCAUAGCGCUACUUUUUGUGCAAUUUGAGCCACUGUCUGCCGCGAAUCUUUGCAUGAAAACUAUUAAUUCAAAAUCAAUACUGUAUCAUAAAAAAUGAUAUCGC
Sebastes umbrosus (honeycomb rockfish) is the source of this 204-nucleotide long non-coding RNA. RefSeq lists it as uncharacterized. The record is from RefSeq and is a predicted model, not a curated record. The transcript has 4 exons. Lineage: Eukaryota; Metazoa; Chordata; Actinopteri; Perciformes; Sebastidae.